This 449-nucleotide ribosomal RNA is filed under the name uncultured bacterium. Its description in RNAcentral is "bacterial SSU rRNA". It matches the Rfam family "Bacterial small subunit ribosomal RNA", at positions 330 to 793 of the family's 1533-position model. The record is from RNAcentral.
ACCAGACUCCUACGGGAGGCAGCAGUAGGGAAUCUUUCACAAUGGGCGAAAGCCUGAUGGAGCAACGCCGCGUGAAGGAAGAAGGCUUUCGGGUUGUAAACUUCUUUUCUGGGGGACGAAGAAAGUGACGGUACCCCAGGAAUAAGCCACGGCUAACUACGUGCCAGCAGCCGCGGUAAUACGUAGGUGGCAAGCGUUAUCCGGAUUUAUUGGGUGUAAAGGGCGUGUAGGCGGGAAUGCAAGUCAGAUGUGAAAACUAUGGGCUCAACCCAUAGCCUGCAUUUGAAACUGUAUUUCUUGAGUGCUGGAGAGGCAAUCGGAAUUCCGUGUGUAGCGGUGAAAUGCGUAGAUAUACGGAGGAACACCAGUGGCGAAGGCGGAUUGCUGGACAGUAACUGACGCUGAGGCGCGAAAGCGUGGGGAGCAAACAGGAUUAGAUACCCGGGUAC